This 394-nucleotide long non-coding RNA is filed under the name Phaseolus vulgaris (common bean). RNAcentral's name for it is "long non-coding RNA (PVUL_LNC001235)". The record is from RNAcentral. Lineage: Eukaryota; Viridiplantae; Streptophyta; Magnoliopsida; Fabales; Fabaceae.
UCUUCAAAAUCAAACCCGCACUUGAGAAGACAUUCAAGAUUUUGAAUGACAAAAUUAUGGAAACGUAUCAUAUUUCCAAUUCUCCAAAACUUUUUUAGAAAUCCGUCUCAGUUUCUUUGGAAAGUAUAUAUUGUUAUCAUUAUCAAAAUGAGUUUAUGAUUGUAGUUAAAAGAAUCUUUUCCAACAGUGAUUAUUUGGUCAGAACUUGAAUGAAAAAUAAAUCACCAUGCAUGCAGAUUUACACAGACAUAUUAAUUAACAUAGGUUUAUUGAUAAAUAACGACAUAUGGUUUAUAACAUCAUGGGUAGCUAAGCAGGGAUUUAUUUAAUACAAAAGCACACUAGUGGUGAUUUUGAUGUACUAGGUUAGGUGACCUGCUAGCAGUUCAUAGUC